RNAcentral lists this ribosomal RNA (1678 nucleotides) under Haemophilus influenzae. RNAcentral's name for it is "partial 23S ribosomal RNA". It matches the Rfam family "Bacterial large subunit ribosomal RNA", at positions 1275 to 2925 of the family's 2925-position model. The record is from RNAcentral. Lineage: Bacteria; Pseudomonadati; Pseudomonadota; Gammaproteobacteria; Pasteurellales; Pasteurellaceae.
GGACGUAUCACAAGUGCGAAUGCUGACAUAAGUAACGAUAAAACGGGUGAAAAACCCGUUCGCCGGAAGACCAAGGGUUCCUGUCCAACGUUAAUCGGGGCAGGGUGAGUCGGCUCCUAAGGCGAGGCUGAAAAGCGUAGUCGAUGGGAAACAGGUUAAUAUUCCUGUACUUGGUAAAGCUGCGAUGUGGGGACGGAGUAGGUUAGGUUAUCGCACUGUUGGAUAUGUGCGUUUAAGUUGGUAGGUGGGAAGUUUAGGCAAAUCCGGACUUCCUUAACACAGAGAGAUGAUGACGAGGCUCUACGGAGCUGAAGUAACUGAUACCACACUUCCAGGAAAAGCCACUAAGCGAAAGGCUUUACUAAACCGUACUGAAAACCGACACAGGUGGUCAGGUAGAGAAUACUCAGGCGCUUGAGAGAACUCGGGUGAAGGAACUAGGCAAAAUAGCACCGUAACUUCGGGAGAAGGUGCGCCGGCGUAGAUUGUAAGGGCUAGCCCCUGAAGGUUGAACCGGUCGAAGAUACCAGCUGGCUGCAACUGUUUAUUAAAAACACAGCACUCUGCAAACACGAAAGUGGACGUAUAGGGUGUGAUGCCUGCCCGGUGCUGGAAGGUUAAUUGAUGGUGUAAUCGAAAGAGAAGCACCUGAUCGAAGCCCCAGUAAACGGCGGCCGUAACUAUAACGGUCCUAAGGUAGCGAAAUUCCUUGUCGGGUAAGUUCCGACCUGCACGAAUGGCAUAAUGAUGGCCAGGCUGUCUCCACCCGAGACUCAGUGAAAUUGAAAUCGCCGUGAAGAUGCGGUGUACCCGCGGCUAGACGGAAAGACCCCGUGAACCUUUACUAUAGCUUGACACUGAACAUUGAAUUUUGAUGUGUAGGAUAGGUGGGAGCCUUUGAAGCAGUGACGCCAGUCAUUGUGGAGGCGACCUUGAAAUACCACCCUUUAACGUUUGAUGUUCUAACGAAGAUGACGAAACGUGGUCUCGGACAGUGUCGGUGGGUAGUUUGACUGGGGCGGUCUCCUCCCAAAGCGUAACGGAGGAGCACGAAGGUUUGCUAAUCACGGUCGGACAUCGUGAGGUUAGUGCAAUGGUAUAAGCAAGCUUAACUGCGAGACAGACAAGUCGAGCAGGUACGAAAGUAGGUCAUAGUGAUCCGGUGGUUCUGAAUGGAAGGGCCAUCGCUCAACGGAUAAAAGGUACUCCGGGGAUAACAGGCUGAUACCGCCCAAGAGUUCAUAUCGACGGCGGUGUUUGGCACCUCGAUGUCGGCUCAUCACAUCCUGGGGCUGAAGUAGGUCCCAAGGGUAUGGCUGUUCGCCAUUUAAAGUGGUACGCGAGCUGGGUUUAGAACGUCGUGAGACAGUUCGGUCCCUAUCUGCCGUGGGCGUAGGAGAAUUGGUUGGGGCUGCUCCUAGUACGAGAGGACCGGAGUGGACGCACCACUGGUGUUCCGGUUGUGUCGCCAGACGCAUUGCCGGGUAGCUAAGUGCGGAAGAGAUAAGUGCUGAAAGCAUCUAAGCACGAAACUUGCCAAGAGAUGAGUUCUCCCAAUCUAAGAGAUUGUAAGGGUUGUUGUAGACUACGACGUAGAUAGGUCUGGUGUGUAAGUGUAGUGAUAUAUUGAGCUAACAGAUACUAAUUGCCCGAGAGGCUUAACUAUACAACGCUCAAG